AUCCAGGCCCCAGGCCUCUGUGCUGCAAAGUCCAACCGGGGGGACUCUGUGAAUGCUGGGAUGAUUAACGCAAGCUGGCUGCAAGAAGGAGACCCCCAGGAUGAGGGAUGCCACUGGAUCUGAGAUUGCCCUGGGACUCAGGAUUUUUCCCACACAGGGAGAUCAUCAGAGAGAAACCUCCUCUUUGCGUCAACUACAAUCACAGACAACUUUUUCAUUAUAUGACACAUAGACAUGGUAUGCUUGCAGCCAUAAUGACAUAUAA
Molecule: long non-coding RNA, 265 nt
Filed under: Homo sapiens (human)
Lineage: Eukaryota; Metazoa; Chordata; Mammalia; Primates; Hominidae
Description: non-protein coding lnc-KCNU1-2:1
Source: RNAcentral